Molecule: ribosomal RNA, 468 nt
Filed under: uncultured bacterium
Lineage: Bacteria
Description: partial 16S ribosomal RNA
Rfam family: Bacterial small subunit ribosomal RNA
Source: RNAcentral
GACGAACGCUGGCGGCGUGCUUAACACAUGCAAGUCGAACGGAAAGGCCCUGCUUUUGUGGGGUGCUCGAGUGGCGAACGGGUGAGUAACACGUGAGUAACCUGCCCUUGACUUUGGGAUAACUUCAGGAAACUGGGGCUAAUACCGGAUAGGAGCUCCUGCUGCAUGGUGGGGGUUGGAAAGUUUCGGCGGUUGGGGAUGGACUCGCGGCUUAUCAGCUUGUUGGUGGGGUAGUGGCUUACCAAGGCUUUGACGGGUAGCCGGCCUGAGAGGGUGACCGGCCACAAUGGGACUGGGGUACGGCCCAGGCUCCUUCGGGGGGCAGGAGGGGGGAAUUAUUGAAAAAGGGGCGGAGCCCGGUGCAGGAACGCCGGGGGCGGGAUGACGGCCUUCGGGUUUGAAACCGCUUUCGCCUGUGACGAAGCGUGAGUGACGGUAAUGGGUAAAGAAGCACCGGCUAACUACGUG